This 298-nucleotide unclassified non-coding RNA is filed under the name plant metagenome. RNAcentral describes it as "partial contains 5.8S ribosomal RNA, internal transcribed spacer 2, and large subunit ribosomal RNA". The stretch from base 1 to 105 matches the Rfam family "5.8S ribosomal RNA", at positions 50 to 154 of the family's 154-position model. The record is from RNAcentral.
GAAAUGCGAUAAGUAAUGUGAAUUGCAGAAUUCAGUGAAUCAUCGAAUCUUUGAACGCACAUUGCGCCCCCUGGUAUUCCGGGGGGCAUGCCUGUUCGAGCGUCAUUUCACCACUCAAGCCUCGCUUGGUAUUGGGCAACGCGGUCCGCCGCGUGCCUCAAAUCGACCGGCUGGGUCUUCUGUCCCCUAGGCGUUGUGGAAACUAUUCGCUAAAGGGUGUUCGGGAGGCUACGCCGUAAAACAACCCCAUUUCUAAGGUUGACCUCGGAUCAGGUAGGGAUACCCGCUGAACUUAAGC